This is a long non-coding RNA of Mobula hypostoma (lesser devil ray), 650 nucleotides long. RefSeq lists it as uncharacterized. The transcript has 4 exons. The record is from RefSeq and is a predicted model, not a curated record. NCBI's taxonomy places the organism in Eukaryota, Metazoa, Chordata, Chondrichthyes, Myliobatiformes, Myliobatidae.
AUUUGUUCUUUUUUUUUGCACGUUUGAUGUUUUCUUUGACCUGGUUCCAUGAUGCUUCUUUGUUCCGUGGCUGCCCGUGGGAAGAUGAAUCUCAGGGUUGUAUACUGCAUACAUACUUUAAUGGAAUUCUGCAGAUGCUAGAAAUUCAAGCAACACACAUCAAAGUUGCUGGUGAACGCAGGCUGGUUUUUCCUUCUAAUUAAUCUAGCGAAAAAUCAUUUGCAAUCCCCUGAGUACUGGACAGGAACAGCACAAGAGAUACAGUGUCAAAGAGGCUCUUCUGGCCCAACAUCCAGCAAUCCAUCUAUUUCGCUGUGAAAUGGAGACAUUUCUUUCUCCCUUAUUAGGGGGAGAGAGAGCCUGUGGCAUCCGUUAGUCUCAUGAGACCAUGGAUUUGCACCUUGGAAGAUUUCCAGGGCGCAGGCCUGGGCAAGGUUGUAUGGAAGACCGGCAGUUGCCCAUGUUGCAAGUCUCCCCUCUCCACGCCACCGAUGUCGUCCAAGGGAAGGGCACUAGGGCCAAUACAGCUUGGCACCGGUGUCGUCGCAGAGCAAUGUGUGGUUAAGUGACUUGCUCAAGAACACAACAUACUGCCUCAGCUGAGGCUCGAACUAGCGACCUUCAGAUCACUAGACCAACGCCUUAACCAC